AUUGAACGCUGGCGGCAGGCCUAACACAUGCAAGUCGAGCGGUAGAGAGGUGCUUGCAUCUCUUGAGAGCGGCGGACGGGUGAGUAAUGCCUAGGAAUCUGCCUGGUGGUGGGGGAUAACGUUCGGAAACGGACGCUAAUACCGCAUACGUCCUACGGGAGAAAGCGGGGGAUCUUCGGACCUCGCGCCAUUAGAUGAGCCUAGGUCGGAUUAGCUAGUUGGUGAGGUAAUGGCUCACCAAGGCGACGAUCCGUAACUGGUCUGAGAGGAUGAUCAGUCACACUGGAACUGAGACACGGUCCAGACUCCUACGGGAGGCAGCAGUGGGGAAUAUUGGACAAUAGGGCGGCAAGCCUGAUCCAGCAAUGCCGCGUGCAGGAUGAAGGCCUCGGUUGUAAC
This 399-nucleotide ribosomal RNA is filed under the name uncultured bacterium. RNAcentral's name for it is "bacterial SSU rRNA". It matches the Rfam family "Bacterial small subunit ribosomal RNA", at positions 30 to 429 of the family's 1533-position model. The record is from RNAcentral.